Molecule: ribosomal RNA, 484 nt
Filed under: uncultured bacterium
Lineage: Bacteria
Description: partial 16S ribosomal RNA
Rfam family: Bacterial small subunit ribosomal RNA
Source: RNAcentral
AUUGAACGCUGGCGGCAGGCCUAACACAUGCAAGUCGAGCGGAUGAAGGGAGCUUGCGCCUGGAUUCCGCGGCGGACGGGUGAGUAAUGCCUAGGAAUCUGCCUGGUAGUGGGGGAUAACGUCCGGAAACGGGCGCUAAUACCGCAUACGUCCUGAGGGAGAACGGGGUGGAUCUUCGGACCUCAAGCUAUCAGCUGAGCCUAGGACGGAUUAGCUAGUUGGUGGGGUAAAGGCCUACCAAGGCGACGAUCCGUAACUGGUCUGAGAGGAUGAUCAGUCACACUGGAACUGAGACACGGUCCAGACUUCUACGGGAGGCAGCAGUGGGGAAUAUUGGACAAUGGGCGAAAGCCUGAUCCAGCCAUGCCGCGUGUGUGAAGAAGGUCUUCGGAUUGUAAAGCACUUUAAGUUGGGAGGAAGGGCAGUAAGUUAAUACCUUGCUGUUUUGACGUUACCAACAGAAUAAGCACCGGCUAACUUCGUG